This 763-nucleotide ribosomal RNA is filed under the name uncultured Serratia sp. RNAcentral describes it as "bacterial SSU rRNA". It matches the Rfam family "Bacterial small subunit ribosomal RNA", at positions 8 to 760 of the family's 1533-position model. Lineage: Bacteria; Pseudomonadati; Pseudomonadota; Gammaproteobacteria; Enterobacterales; Yersiniaceae. The record is from RNAcentral.
AGAGUUUGAUCCUGGCUCAGAUUGAACGCUGGCGGCAGGCCUAACACAUGCAAGUCGAGCGGUAGCACAAGAGAGCUUGCUCUCUGGGUGACGAGCGGCGGACGGGUGAGUAAUGUCUGGGAAACUGCCUGAUGGCGGGGGAUAACUAGUGGAAACGGUAGCUAAUACCGCAUAACGUCGCAAGACCAAAGUGGGGGACCUUCGGGCCUCACGCCAUCAGAUGUGCCCAGGUGGGAUUAGCUGGUAGGUGGGGUAACGGCUCACCUAGGCGACGAUCCCUAGCUGGUCUGAGAGGAUGACCAGCCACACUGGAACUGAGACACGGUCCAGACUCCUACGGGAGGCAGCAGUGGGGAAUAUUGCACAAUGGGCGCAAGCCUGAUGCAGCCAUGCCGCGUGUGUGAAGAAGGCCUUCGGGUUGUAAAGCACUUUCAGCGAGGAGAAAGGGUAAUGUGUUAAUAAGACAUUGCAUUGACGUUACUCGCAGAAGAAGCACCGGCUAACUCCGUGCCAGCAGCCGCGGUAAUACGGAGGGUGCAAGCGUUAAUCGGAAUUACUGGGCGUAAAGCGCACGCAGGCGGUUUGUUAAGUCAGAUGUGAAAUCCCCGCGCUCAACGUAGGAACGGCAUUUGAGACUGGCAAGCUAGAGUCUUGUAGAGGGGGGUAGAAUUCCAGGUGUAGCGGUGAAAUGCGUAGAGAUCUGGAGGAAUACCGGUGGCGAAGGCGGCCCCCUGGACAAAGACUGACGCUCAGGUGCGAAAGC